RNAcentral lists this ribosomal RNA (437 nucleotides) under uncultured Oscillospiraceae bacterium. RNAcentral describes it as "partial 16S ribosomal RNA". It matches the Rfam family "Bacterial small subunit ribosomal RNA", at positions 341 to 792 of the family's 1533-position model. Lineage: Bacteria; Bacillati; Bacillota; Clostridia; Eubacteriales; Oscillospiraceae. The record is from RNAcentral.
ACGGGAGGCAGCAGUGGGGAAUAUUGGGCAAUGGGCGAAAGCCUGACCCAGCAACGCCGCGUGAAGGAAGAAGGUCUUCGGAUUGUAAACUUCUUUUAUGAGGGACGAAGGACGUGACGGUACCUCAUGAAUAAGCUACGGCUAACUACGUGCCAGCAGCCGCGGUAAUACGUAGGUCGCGAGCGUUAUCCGGAUUUACUGGGUGUAAAGGGCGCGUAGGCGGGGAAGCAAGUCAGGUGUGAAAUCUAUGAGCUUAACCCAUAAACUGCACUUGAAACUGUUUUUCUUGAGUGCUGAAGAGGUAGACGGAAUUCCUAGUGUAGCGGUGAAAUGCGUAGAUAUUAGGAAGAACACCAGUGGCGAAGGCGGUCUACUGGACAGUAACUGACGCUGAGGCGCGAAAGCGUGGGGAGCAAACAGGAUUAGAUACCCUGGUA